Molecule: small RNA, 16 nt
Filed under: Arabidopsis thaliana (thale cress)
Lineage: Eukaryota; Viridiplantae; Streptophyta; Magnoliopsida; Brassicales; Brassicaceae
Description: ATSL254500
Source: RNAcentral
GUUUUCGAAAGAGUUU